AUGUUGAAUGCUGAAAGGAAGUUCAGUCUGUUCAAUGCAUCUGGGAUUGCACCAAUGAGAUUGUUGCUAGAGAAGUCUAGUACCUGCAGGUUUGUGAGAUUGCAUACAGAUAUUGGGAUCUGUCCUGUUAGGGCAUUGAAGCUCAAAUUGAGGGAAACAAGGGAUUUCAGCUGGCCGAUCUCCGAAGGGAUCUCACCAGUUAAUUUAUUGUUGCUUAGAUCCAGCACUUUGGCGAAAGCAAUGGGUAUGCGGUACUGA
Molecule: ribosomal RNA, 258 nt
Filed under: Triticum aestivum (bread wheat)
Lineage: Eukaryota; Viridiplantae; Streptophyta; Magnoliopsida; Poales; Poaceae
Description: partial small subunit ribosomal RNA
Source: RNAcentral